This 373-nucleotide unclassified non-coding RNA is filed under the name Hevea brasiliensis (rubber tree). Lineage: Eukaryota; Viridiplantae; Streptophyta; Magnoliopsida; Malpighiales; Euphorbiaceae. The record is from RNAcentral.
CAUCUCUUUUGAAGGUAUAUCCAAGUGAUUGGUCGGUUCAUCCAAUACCAGCAACGUUGAUGGUUUUACCAUGAAUUUACAAAAUGCAAGGCGUGCCUUCUCCCCACCACUCAAUAACGAAACCUUCCUAUCAAGCAUCUCAGUUUUAAAAUUACAACGCCCAAGGAGACCUUUUAUGUCAUCAACUCUCCAGUCCUCUGCAACUUCCUCUACUGUCUCAAGCACUGUCUUUUCCAAAUCAAGUGCCUCAGCCUGAUUUUGUUCAAAAUAGUUAGGCAACACAUUGUGCUCCCCAAGCUGAACUUCACCUCCUUUUGGCUUUUCCAAACCCAUUAUCAAUUUCAGUAGUGUACUUUUUCCACAUCCAUUUGGG